GUGAGUGAGUGAGUGAGUGAGUGAGUGAGUGAGUGGGAGAGUGAGUGAGUGAGUGAGUGAGUGAGUGGGUGAGUGAGUGAGUGAGUGAGUGAGUGAGUGAGUGAGUGAGUGGGAGAGUGAGUGAGUGAGUGAGUGAGUGAGUGAGUGGGAGAGUGAGUGAGUGAGUGAGUGAGUGAGUGAGCGACUGAGUGAGUGAGUGAGUGAGAGAGUGAGUGAGUGAGUGAGUGAGUGAGUGAGUGAGUGAGAGAGUGAGUGAGUGAGUGAGAGAGUGAGUGAGUGAGUGAGUGAGUGAGUGAGUGAGUGAGUGAGUGAGUGAGCGAGCGCCCGGGUUUAUUUGAAGAACGGGGAUCUAUCAGAGUCUGAUCUUCACAACGCAUGUUUGUGGAAGUGUAUCCGGUACGAACAAUGGAGAUUUCUGAGGAGAGUCGUCGAAGCUCAUCGGCUGGGAAAGGACACACAGGCAUCUCUAAAGAGUCUGGACUCCACCGAUCCACACUCAGACAGAUUGUGUACAGAUGGAGGAAAUUUAAAACCACUGUUAC
Ictalurus punctatus (channel catfish) is the source of this 542-nucleotide long non-coding RNA. The record is from Ensembl. NCBI's taxonomy places the organism in Eukaryota, Metazoa, Chordata, Actinopteri, Siluriformes, Ictaluridae.